CGGCCCCCACGGAACCCCCAGACCCAGCCCCGUACACGCCAGGGCGGAGGAGGAAGAGGAGGAGGAGGCACCGCCCGGGCCGGGCCCGCCCCGCGCACACCUGCGCCCCCCGCCGGGGACGCCCCCGCCAGCACCACACCCGCUCCCGGAGCCUUUAAAGGACCCCGGUGGGACCACCGCAAUCCUCCACCCCGCCCGGAGCUGGAAGGGCGGUCGCGGAUCGCCCUGGUCUGUUCCCACUCCCUCAGCCGCCAGCCCCGGGCCGGCGCGGCGAGCCCUGCGGCCAGGCACGGCUGCGGGCGGAAGCAGGUGCUACUCUGCUUACUUCUCCAGAGGCGACUGCGACCUCGUCCCCGCUCCCUCAGGAGGACAGGCCCCCCGGCCAGGGGGGUGCGGCGCUCCGGGGCGGGCCGGCGCCUCUCUCGGCCGGACACCUGCCUAGCCCCGAGGUGGUCGGCGGCCGCGGCUCCGGGAGCCCUGCCCCGGGCCCCAGCACUCCCGUGCCGCAGGGCGCAGCGAGGCUGGGACCGAGUCCCCCGUCCCCCCCGCCCCUGGAGGCGGUGUGUGAGGCGAGGGGCGCGCGAGUCACGGCCGGCCGACUCCUCCCCUUCCCCCCUCCAGCCGCCUCACCUGAGGGAAAACGUGCGGAGCCGCCGGCGUCUCUCCCCGCAGCUACACCGCAAAAUGGAGGCUGUGGGGCCGGGCGGCGCCCGCCCCGCCCCCGGCACCUAGCCCGCCCCGGCCCGGCCCACGGGCCCCGCACGCCGCGGGCAGGGACGCCGCGCCCGAGUCCCCGCAGGGCCGAGGCGGGCCGGCAGCGGUUCCCGGUGGUGAUCGCCCAGCUAACCCGGGACCCCUUUCCUAUCUGUGCAGCUUUGCCCCGUCUUGCUGAAGGAAGGCUGCAGUAUCCCCAAUUCUCCUUCCAAACGGCUGAGAGGCAUUUGUCACUGUGCUGUCUGACAUCAUACAACCAAACCAAUGGAUUGUGGCCUCUUCUGACACUUCUACUUUGCAGUGAAUCUUUCCACCUAUGA
Molecule: long non-coding RNA, 1034 nt
Filed under: Accipiter nisus (Eurasian sparrowhawk)
Lineage: Eukaryota; Metazoa; Chordata; Aves; Accipitriformes; Accipitridae
Description: lncRNA (ENSANIG00000011438.1)
Source: RNAcentral